Molecule: ribosomal RNA, 207 nt
Filed under: uncultured bacterium
Lineage: Bacteria
Description: partial 16S ribosomal RNA
Rfam family: Bacterial small subunit ribosomal RNA
Source: RNAcentral
CGCGUAGGCGGUCUUGUAAGUCAGAUGUGAAAGCCCCGGGCUCAACCCGGGAAUAGCAUUUGAUACUGCGAGGCUUGAGUCCGGGAGAGGAUGGCGGAAUUCCCAGUGUAGAGGUGAAAUUCGUAGAUAUUGGGAAGAACACCGGUGGCGAAGGCGGCCAUCUGGACCGGUACUGACGCUGAGGCGCGAAAGCGUGGGGAGCAAACA